GCCCCCUUAGCUCAGUUGGUUAGAGCUGCAGGCUUUUAACCUGUGAGUCCUGGGUUCGAAUCCCAGAGGGGGCA
Solirubrobacterales bacterium 67-14 is the source of this 74-nucleotide non-coding RNA. The record is from Rfam. NCBI's taxonomy places the organism in Bacteria, Bacillati, Actinomycetota, Thermoleophilia, Solirubrobacterales.